GGAGAUGUAUCUCAGUGGUGCAGCACUUGUCUAGCAAGCACAAGGCUCUGGGUUUAAACCCCAGCACCACCA
This 72-nucleotide transfer RNA is filed under the name Fukomys damarensis (Damara mole-rat). It matches the Rfam family "tRNA". Rfam says of the family: Transfer RNA (tRNA) molecules are approximately 80 nucleotides in length. The record is from Rfam by way of RNAcentral. Lineage: Eukaryota; Metazoa; Chordata; Mammalia; Rodentia; Bathyergidae.